AUGUACAAGAGAGGUGAAGGCAGGGAUCGUCUACUAGUUGGCAUCUACGUCGACGACCUAUUGAUUACUGGAGCAGAUGAAGAGGUGAUUGCAAAGUUCAAGUUACAAAUGGAGAUUUUCAAGAGGGAUGAUCUAGGUCUCUUGAGCUUCUACCCCAGGAUAGAGGUACAUCAAAAGACAGAGGAAAUCACACUAUGCCAGGAGGCAUACACAAGGAAGAUACUUGAAAACUGUGGCAUGAAAGAUUGCAAUCUAAUUGAAGCUUCAAUGAAACCUCGUCUUGAACUGAGCAAGAAGAGUAAAGCACCCGCAGUUGAUGCAAUAGAGUAUAUUGCAGCUGCCACUGCGAUGUGUCAAGGUGUGUGGCUAGGGAGGCUGCACGGUGAUCUCAUGGAUCGAGAUCCGGAACAAGUGGUGCUCAAUGUUGAUAGAAAGUCUACAACUUUUCUACGCGAAGAACCAGUGCGGCAUGAUAGGAGCAAGCACAUUGAUACGGUGUAUCACUACAUAAAGGACUGUGUAGAAGAAGGGAAGACGGAGGUCAACUACAAUCGCACUGAUGAUCAGCUGGCGGACACCCUAACCAAGGCUUUGGAUCGAGAGAAGUUCUUAGAGAGGUGA
RNAcentral lists this ribosomal RNA (621 nucleotides) under Triticum aestivum (bread wheat). RNAcentral describes it as "partial small subunit ribosomal RNA". The record is from RNAcentral. Lineage: Eukaryota; Viridiplantae; Streptophyta; Magnoliopsida; Poales; Poaceae.